Molecule: ribosomal RNA, 459 nt
Filed under: uncultured bacterium
Lineage: Bacteria
Description: partial 16S ribosomal RNA
Rfam family: Bacterial small subunit ribosomal RNA
Source: RNAcentral
CCUACGGGAGACAGCAGUGAGGAAUAUUGGUCAAUGGGCGCGAGCCUGAACCAGCCAAGUCGCGUGAGGGAAGACUGUCCUAUGGAUUGUCAACCUCUUUUGUCGGGGAGCAAAAGGCGCCAUGCGUGGCGCUCCGAGAGUACCCGAUGCAAAAGCAUCGGCAAACUCCGUGCCAGCAGCCGCGUUAAUACGGAGGAUGCGAGCGUUAGCCGGAUUUAUUGGGUUUAAGGGAUGCGCAGGCGGAAGAUCAAGUCAGCGGUAAAAUUGGGAGGCUCAACCUCUUCGAGCCGUUGAAACUGGUUUUCUUGAGUGAGCGAGAGGUAGGCGGAAUGCGUGGUGUAGCGGUGAAAUGCAUAGAUAUCACGCAGAACUCCGAUUGCGAAGGCAGCAUACCGGCGCGCAACUGACGCGCAUGCACGAAAGUGUGGGUAUCGAACAGGAUUAGAUACCCGAGUAGUC